GAAGAAGCAGUCAGUGCCAGGCAGACAGUCACGUUAGCCACAGCAAAUACACCAAAGAGGAUCCAAGCUCAAACACAAGAUAACCAGAUUACAUUAGACAGCAGAUCUGAUGGAAAAGACAAAAAGUCUCGACAUCUAUCAGUGAAAUGUAAAGCGUUGUCAUCUGCAAACAAACACACAAUUCCCAAACGAGGCAAGAAAGGUGAAAGCUGUUUUUUUCCUUCAAACAUACAAAACUCUAGUACAGUUUUAAUACCGUGAGCGAUUCCAGCAAAGCCAGAAGAAUUGAGUGACAUGACCCACAAUCAUUGGA
Long non-coding RNA from Etheostoma spectabile (orangethroat darter), 313 nucleotides. RefSeq lists it as uncharacterized. NCBI's taxonomy places the organism in Eukaryota, Metazoa, Chordata, Actinopteri, Perciformes, Percidae. The transcript is spliced from 2 exons. The record is from RefSeq and is a predicted model, not a curated record.